UACGGGGGGGCAAGCGUUGUUCGGAAUUACUGGGCGUAAAGGGUUCGUAGGUGGCCAACUAAGUCAGACGUGAAAUCCCUCAGCUCAACUGGGGAACUGCGUCUGAUACUGGUCGGCUUGAGUGCAGGAGAGGAACGCGGAAUUCCAGGUGUAGCGGUGAAAUGCGUAGAUAUCUGGAGGAACACCGGUGGCGAAGGCGGCGUCUGGACUGCAACUGACACUGAGGAACGAAAGCCAGGGGAGCAAACGGG
RNAcentral lists this ribosomal RNA (251 nucleotides) under uncultured bacterium. Its description in RNAcentral is "partial 16S ribosomal RNA". It matches the Rfam family "Bacterial small subunit ribosomal RNA", at positions 524 to 776 of the family's 1533-position model. The record is from RNAcentral.